GGCCGAAUGGUCCAGUGGUAGGAUUGUUGUUUCGGGAUAUUUUCCCCACGUAUACUCGUGAUAGAAUAUGACAGAUCCCGGGUUCGAACCCCGGUUCGGCCC
RNAcentral lists this transfer RNA (102 nucleotides) under Botrytis cinerea B05.10. RNAcentral's name for it is "tRNA-Pro for anticodon CGG". It matches the Rfam family "tRNA". From Rfam's summary of the family: Transfer RNA (tRNA) molecules are approximately 80 nucleotides in length. Their secondary structure includes four short double-helical elements and three loops (D, anti-codon, and T loops). Further hydrogen bonds mediate the characteristic L-shaped molecular structure. tRNAs have two regions of fundamental functional importance: the anti-codon, which is responsible for specific mRNA codon recognition, and the 3' end, to which the tRNAs corresponding amino acid is attached (by aminoacyl-tRNA synthetases). tRNAs cope with the degeneracy of the genetic code in two manners: having more than one tRNA (with a specific anti-codon) for a particular amino acid; and 'wobble' base-pairing, i.e. permitting non-standard base-pairing at the 3rd anti-codon position. The record is from RNAcentral. Lineage: Eukaryota; Fungi; Ascomycota; Leotiomycetes; Helotiales; Sclerotiniaceae.